RNAcentral lists this long non-coding RNA (252 nucleotides) under Scleropages formosus (Asian bonytongue). RNAcentral describes it as "lncRNA (ENSSFOG00015025185.1)". The record is from RNAcentral. Lineage: Eukaryota; Metazoa; Chordata; Actinopteri; Osteoglossiformes; Osteoglossidae.
AAUUGUGUAAGAAGAAACGGACAUGUUUAGCAAAGGCCAUGUCUUAGGACUGCAGAAGGAAACCGGAGCGAACACAGGGAUAACAGGCCAACUCCACGCAGACUGAGCAUUCACAUGGAACAAUGCUUAAAUUUACCGUUUCAAAAUACAACCUAAUCCAACAGUAAUGCUAAUGCCUCAUGUUUUCUUGAACGGAUACUUACCUCGGGGCCCCUAACCAAGAAAAAUCAGCAAAAACAACCUGUACUGGAC